RNAcentral lists this ribosomal RNA (1372 nucleotides) under uncultured bacterium. RNAcentral describes it as "bacterial SSU rRNA". It matches the Rfam family "Bacterial small subunit ribosomal RNA", at positions 28 to 1381 of the family's 1533-position model. The record is from RNAcentral.
GAUGAACGCUGGCGGCGUGCCUAAUACAUGCAAGUCGAGCGAACGGACGAGAAGCUUGCUUCUCUGAUGUUAGCGGCGGACGGGUGAGUAACACGUGGAUAACCUACCUAUAAGACUGGGAUAACUUCGGGAAACCGGAGCUAAUACCGGAUAAUAUUUUGAACCGCAUGGUUCAAAAGUGAAAGACGGUCUUGCUGUCACUUAUAGAUGGAUCCGCGCUGCAUUAGCUAGUUGGUAAGGUAACGGCUUACCAAGGCAACGAUGCAUAGCCGACCUGAGAGGGUAAUCGGCCACACUGGAACUGAGACACGGUCCAGACUCCUACGGGAGGCAGCAGUAGGGAAUCUUCCGCAAUGGGCGAAAGCCUGACGGAGCAACGCCGCGUGAGUGAUGAAGGUCUUCGGAUCGUAAAACUCUGUUAUUAGGGAAGAACAUAUGUGUAAGUAACUGUGCACAUCUUGACGGUACCUAAUCAGAAAGCCACGGCUAACUACGUGCCGGCAGCCGCGGUAAUACGUAGGUGGCAAGCGUUAUCCGGAAUUAUUGGGCGUAAAGCGCGCGUAGGCGGUUUUUUAAGUCUGAUGUGAAAGCCCACGGCUCAACCGUGGAGGGUCAUUGGAAACUGGAAAACUUGAGUGCAGAAGAGGAAAGUGGAAUUCCAUGUGUAGCGGUGAAAUGCGCAGAGAUAUGGAGGAACACCAGUGGCGAAGGCGACUUUCUGGUCUGUAACUGACGCUGAUGUGCGAAAGCGUGGGGAUCAAACAGGAUUAGAUACCCUGGUAGUCCACGCCGUAAACGAUGAGUGCUAAGUGUUAGGGGGUUUCCGCCCCUUAGUGCUGCAGCUAACGCAUUAAGCACUCCGCCUGGGGAGUACGACCGCAAGGUUGAAACUCAAAGGAAUUGACGGGGACCCGCACAAGCGGUGGAGCAUGUGGUUUAAUUCGAAGCAACGCGAAGAACCUUACCAAAUCUUGACAUCCUUUGACAACUCUAGAGAUAGAGCUUUCCCCUUCGGGGGACAAAGUGACAGGUGGUGCAUGGUUGUCGUCAGCUCGUGUCGUGAGAUGUUGGGUUAAGUCCCGCAACGAGCGCAACCCUUAAGCUUAGUUGCCAUCAUUAAGUUGGGCACUCUAAGUUGACUGCCGGUGACAAACCGGAGGAAGGUGGGGAUGACGUCAAAUCAUCAUGCCCCUUAUGAUUUGGGCUACACACGUGCUACAAUGGACAAUACAAAGGGCAGCGAAACCGCGAGGUCAAGCAAAUCCCAUAAAGUUGUUCUCAGUUCGGAUUGUAGUCUGCAACUCGACUACAUGAAGCUGGAAUCGCUAGUAAUCGUAGAUCAGCAUGCUACGGUGAAUACGUUCCCGGGUCU